GACGAACGCUGGCGGCGUGCUUAACACAUGCAAGUCGAGCGGUAAGGCCCUUUCGGGGGUACGACGAGCGGCGAACGGGUGAGUAACACGUGGGUGACCUGCCCUCAGCUCUGGGAUAAGCCUGGGAAACCGGGUCUAAUACCGGAUAUGACUCCAUGACGCAUGUUGUGGGGUGGAAAGCCUUGUGCGGCUGAGGAUGGGCCCGCGGCCUAUCAGCUUGUUGGUGGGGUGAUGGCCUACCAAGGCGACGACGGGUAGCCGGCCUGAGAGGGCGACCGGCCACACUGGGACUGAGACACGGCCCAGACUCCUACGGGAGGCAGCAGUGGGGAAUCUUGCGCAAUGGGCGAAAGCCUGACGCAGCGACGCCGCGUGAGGAUGACGG
Molecule: ribosomal RNA, 385 nt
Filed under: uncultured bacterium
Lineage: Bacteria
Description: bacterial SSU rRNA
Rfam family: Bacterial small subunit ribosomal RNA
Source: RNAcentral